Molecule: ribosomal RNA, 286 nt
Filed under: uncultured bacterium
Lineage: Bacteria
Description: partial 16S ribosomal RNA
Rfam family: Bacterial small subunit ribosomal RNA
Source: RNAcentral
UGAGCAUGCGUCCAUUAGCUUGUUGGUAAGGUAACGGCUUACCAAGGCAACGAUGGGUAGGGGGUCCUGAGAGGGAGAUCCCCCACACUGGUACUGAGACACGGACCAGACUCCUACGGGAGGCAGCAGUUGAGGAAUAUUGGACAAUGGGGCGCAAGCCUGAUCCAGCCAUGCCGCGUGCAGGAUGACGGUCCUAUGGAUUGUAAACUGCUUUUGUACAGGAAGAGACACUGGUUCGUGAACCGGCUUGACGGUACUGUAAGAAUAAGGAUCGGCUAACUCCGUG